AUUGAACGCUGGCGGCAGGCCUAACACAUGCAAGUCGAGCGAGCGGCGGACGGGUGAGUAAUGUCUGGGAAACUGCCUGAUGGAGGGGGAUAACUACUGGAAACGGUAGCUAAUACCGCAUAACAUCAGAUGUGCCCAGAUGGGUUUAGCUAGUAGGCGGGGUAACGGCUCACCUAGGCGACGAUCCCUAGCUGGUCUGAGAGGAUGACCAGCCACACUGGAACUGAGACACGGUCCAGACUCCUACGGGAGGCAACAGUGGGGAAUAUUUCACAAUGGGCGCAAGCCUGAUGCAGCCAUGCCGCGUGAGUGAAGAAGGCCUUCGGGUUGUAAAGCACUUUCAGCGGGGAGGCGUUACCCGCAGAAGAAGCACCGGCUAACUCCGUGCCAGCAGCCGCGGUAAUUC
Molecule: ribosomal RNA, 406 nt
Filed under: uncultured bacterium
Lineage: Bacteria
Description: partial 16S ribosomal RNA
Rfam family: Bacterial small subunit ribosomal RNA
Source: RNAcentral